GGGCGGGGCGCGGCGGGCUCGGGCGCCCCCUGCUGGCCUGGCGCCGCGUGGCGCCCCCCGCAGGCCUGCCACCUUCGGCCAGUUUCAAGGAGAGGCUCGAAAAUGCACUCUUUAAAGCCCAUGCUGUGUCCUCGAGGGCGUUGCUGUCGUUAGGAGGCUGAGAGACUGGGAUGGAGGUGCCGGAGGCUGCUGGGGCGCCCGUGCAGGGAGACAGCCCCGUGCGGGAGAGGCACGCUGGUGACCAGCGAGGGCCUCCCGGCAUGGGACGUACUGGAGUAGAGGCCUGGAGGCCGCAGGCGCCGCGUGGGAACACCCGGAAGCUCAGGGUGCAGAUUUUAUUUAUUCAGGAGAGACACAGAGAGAGAGACGCAGACACAGGCAGAGGGAGAAGCAGGCUCCAUGCGGGGAGCCCGACGUGGGACUCGAUCCCGGGACUCCAGGAUCACGGCCUGGGCCGGAGGCAGACGCUUAACUGCUGAGCCACCCAGGGAUCCCAGAUGUGAGGGUUCUAAGCAAAGCCCUGGCUGUUAAUGACUUUUAAAUACUGUCCCUGGCCUAACCCCCUGAACUCAAGAAAACUCCUAGGAACUUCUGCCCGUCAAUCUUACUUUUUGAAAAUGAACUAAGGAAUUGCUGUAACAGGAAAAGAAACAUUUGAGGAUAAUGCCUGCACAGAUGAAUCAGAAAGUGCCUCAGCCUCACAAUAAUGGUAAAAUCUCACCCUGAAUAUUCACGCCAAGGCCUAAUAAAAGGGGCCUGCUUCUCCUUGUUCAGGCAAUCAAGGCUUUGGAAGUCAUUCCUUGCACUCUCCUUGUUUGUACAAGUAAAGUGGCCCUGGGAGGCAACCACCUCGUACAGUUUCUGUCUAUGGUUCACCGAGAAGUGGCCUUGCUUUGGUUGGUAAUAAUAGUACUCCAGUUAGGGUGGAGGGUGAAUGGCAGAUGGUAGAAUGAAAACUGCAGCGGCACUCGGGUGCUCGGUGGUUGAGCGUCUGCCUUUGGCUCAGGUCAUGAUCCUGGGGUCUUGGGAUCGAGUCCCACGUCGGGCUCCCCGCAGGGAGCCUGCUUCUCCCUCUGCCUGUGUCUCUGCCUCUCUCUGUAUUUCUCAUAAAUAAGUAAAUAAAAUCUUCAAAAGAGAAAGAAAACUGCAGGCCCCAAAUUCAGUCACUUAUGUUAAGGCCUCAUGGCAGUAAACCAAGACUUAGCACUUCACCCUCCACCCCAACGUAAACUUUGACCUGCCAAACUGGAGGUAUUUAUGAUCGAUCCCUUCCAUUCCCCUUAGGAAGGGUGACAGGACCUAAAACAACACAUUCUUUGCUAAUAAUUCCCUUCCCCCUCCCUCUCUGCCUUUAAAAACCUUUCCUUUUCUGUAGCACUAUGGAGGUCCUUUCCAUUUGCUUGGGAGGCUGCCCUAUUCAUGCAUCGUUUAAUAAAGCCAAUUAGAUCUUCAAAUUUA
Molecule: long non-coding RNA, 1458 nt
Organism: Canis lupus familiaris (dog)
Lineage: Eukaryota; Metazoa; Chordata; Mammalia; Carnivora; Canidae
Exons: 3
Source: RefSeq, a predicted model, not a curated record